RNAcentral lists this ribosomal RNA (492 nucleotides) under uncultured bacterium. RNAcentral describes it as "partial 16S ribosomal RNA". It matches the Rfam family "Bacterial small subunit ribosomal RNA", at positions 29 to 507 of the family's 1533-position model. The record is from RNAcentral.
AGUGAACGCUGGCGGUAGGCCUAACACAUGCAAGUCGAACGGCAGCACAGUAAGAGCUUGCUCUUACGGGUGGCGAGUGGCGGACGGGUGAGGAAUACAUCGGAAUCUACUUUUUCGUGGGGGAUAACGUAGGGAAACUUACGCUAAUACCGCAUACGACCUACGGGUGAAAGCAGGGGAUCUUCGGACCUUGCGCGAUUGAAUGAGCCGAUGUCGGAUUAGCUAGUUGGCGGGGUAAAGGCCCACCAAGGCGACGAUCCGUAGCUGGUCUGAGAGGAUGAUCAGCCACACUGGAACUGAGACACGGUCCAGGCUCCUACGGGAGGCAGCAGUGGGGAAUAUUGGACAAUGGGCGCAAGCCUGAUCCAGCCAUACCGCGUGGGUGAAGAAGGCCUUCGGGUUGUAAAGCCCUUUUGUUGGGAAAGAAAAGCAGCAGGUUAAUACCCCGCCGUUCUGACGGUACCCAAAGAAUAAGCACCGGCUAACUUCGUG